UCUCGCUCUUUACACCUACCCUGCUCCAUCCAUUGCCUUGACUUGCCAGUUGCUUUCCCCACCCCCAAGGCAAAGAAACAAGAAGCAGGAGAGUGCAAGAGGCUCAGGAUCUGAUCUUCUCAACAGCAGGAGAAAACCCUAGCCUGGCUUCACUCAGAAGAUGUCAUCUUGGAUUAGAAAAGAGAGAGAGAGCCACAACUUGGAUUGACAGAGUAUGGAGCCUGAAGGAGCCCAGGUCCCUGAGACACGGUGGAACAAAGCCACUAUACUACCUCAGGACUCUGUACAGCCCUGCUUUAUAUAGAGGAGAAGUAAACUUCUAUCUUUUUAAAGCCCCUAUUUGUUGAAUUGUAUUGUCACAGCCAUAUCCAAUCUUAAGGAAUAUACAAAGAUUAUGCCAUGGCUUUUGUAGCCCAAUUGGCUAUCUAGGCAAGUAAAAUAAUCUGAAUGAUG
Molecule: long non-coding RNA, 453 nt
Organism: Homo sapiens (human)
Lineage: Eukaryota; Metazoa; Chordata; Mammalia; Primates; Hominidae
Exons: 2
Source: RefSeq, marked validated